CCGCACAGUAAACGAUGAAUACUCGCUGUUGGCGAUAUACAGUCAGCGGCCAAGCGAAAGCAUUAAGUAUUCCACCUGGGGAGUACGCCGGCAACGGUGAAACUCAAAGGAAUUGACGGGGGCCCGCACAAGCGGAGGAACAUGUGGUUUAAUUCGAUGAUACGCGAGGAACCUUACCCGGGCUUGAAUUGCUUCUGAAUGAUCUGGAAACAGGUCCGCCGCAAGGCAGAAGUGAAGGUGCUGCAUGGUUGU
RNAcentral lists this ribosomal RNA (252 nucleotides) under uncultured bacterium. Its description in RNAcentral is "partial 16S ribosomal RNA". It matches the Rfam family "Bacterial small subunit ribosomal RNA", at positions 795 to 1052 of the family's 1533-position model. The record is from RNAcentral.